GGUCAGUUGACUGUCUGUUCCUGUUGUAGAAGGAGAAAUGUUUGUCAGCAGCUGUGAUCUGAGACUCUGAUCCUGCAGUGAGAGAGUGGACUGAGCUCAGCAGCAGCUGACUGCUGUGUGUGGACAUGAGGAGGAGUGUGAAUGUUGUGUGUGAUGAAGAUCCACAACAACAGAACAGCUCAAUGAUCAGGACUCAGUAAUGUGGAACUGCUCAAUGAUCAAUACAUCUGAUUGGUUCCUCCUCAUUGAUUCUGCUGCUUUCUCUCUUUAUUCAGGUUGGAGGACUGCAGCUUGUCAGAAAUCAGCUGUUCUUCUCCGGCCUCAGCUCUGAAGUCCAACCCCUCCCACCUGAAGGAGCUGGACCUGAGGUUCAACCAGCUGCGUUCUCCAGAUGUGCAGCAGCUGGUUGCUCUCCAGCAGAGUCCAGACUGCAGCCUGCAGACUCUGAGGUGGGAGAGGAGCUUCUUCCAGCACUGAGUGACAGAGGAAGCAGCAGAAGAGCUGCUGAGUGUCAGUGGUGCAGUGUGAAGAGCUGUGAGAGUCCAGCAUGGAACCAUGGAGCAUCAGUAGAUCUUCAGCGUUCAGCCCUGCUGCUCUCCCUCAUUUCACCAUCCUGAAGGAGAUUUAUCCAAAGAACCACUCAGAAAACGUUUUCAGAUCAACAACAUCUGCUGCUUCUGUGAGACUGGUGUAGAAACAACUGUCCAGAUGUUCUCCUCAUGCUCUCAGAUACAAUCUGCUUUGAUUUUCAAAGUGAUUCCAGACUAAAUCUCUUCAUUUCUGAGUCAUGUGACAGAAAACAGGAGAACUUUUGGACUGACUGCAGAAGAAAAAGGAUGAAUUGUUCAGUCAUGUAAUUCUCUGCUCGGUGAAGUUUUUCAUUCCUCUGAAUCACAUUUUAAAGUCAGUCCUCAACUUUCAAUGAUUUCUAUUUGUUUUGCAGCUCAGUAAAAAUGAUCAAACUACUGAGACACAGAUCUUAGACACAAUCUUUGAAACAGUCCAGAUUCAUUUGUCCUCUUUGUUCAUAAAAACUCUGUUUUGAUCAAUAUUUAGUGAAGCUGGUUUCUUGUUUCUUCUGUUUUCUUCUCAUCUUCUCUGAAGCUUAAACUCCUGAUUGAAGUGUUGAUGUCAGCUGAUAGUCAGAGAACUCUUUUCCUGUCUGAGAGCUUUGUUUCAUUGGUUUA
This 1187-nucleotide long non-coding RNA is filed under the name Salarias fasciatus (jewelled blenny). Its description in RNAcentral is "lncRNA (ENSSFAG00005020766.1)". The record is from RNAcentral. Lineage: Eukaryota; Metazoa; Chordata; Actinopteri; Blenniiformes; Blenniidae.